RNAcentral lists this ribosomal RNA (400 nucleotides) under uncultured bacterium. Its description in RNAcentral is "bacterial SSU rRNA". It matches the Rfam family "Bacterial small subunit ribosomal RNA", at positions 356 to 773 of the family's 1533-position model. The record is from RNAcentral.
GGGGAAUAUUGCACAAUGGGGGAAACCCUGAUGCAGCAACGCCGCGUGAGUGAUGAAGGCCUUCGGGUUGUAAAGCUCUGUCUUCAGGGACGAUAAUGACGGUACCUGAGGAGGAAGCAACGGCUAACUACGUGCCAGCAGUCGCGGUAAUACGUAGGUGGCAAGCGUUGUCCGGAUUUACUGGGCGUAAAGGGAGCGUAGGCGGAUACUUAAGUGGGAUGUGAAAUACCUGGGCUUAACUUGGGUGCUGCAUUCCAAACUGGGUGUCUAGUGUGUUGGAGAGGAAAGUGGAAUUCCUAGUGUAGCGGUGAAAUGCGUAGAUAUAUGGAGGAACACCAGUGGCGAAGGCGGCUUUCUGGUCUGUAACUGACGUUGUGGCUCGAAAGCGUGGGGAGCAAAC